RNAcentral lists this ribosomal RNA (976 nucleotides) under Niphargus ladmiraulti. RNAcentral's name for it is "eukaryotic LSU rRNA". It matches the Rfam family "Eukaryotic large subunit ribosomal RNA", at positions 366 to 952 of the family's 3401-position model. Lineage: Eukaryota; Metazoa; Arthropoda; Malacostraca; Amphipoda; Niphargidae. The record is from RNAcentral.
GAAAAGCACUCUGAAGAGAGAGUCAAAAGACCGUGAAACCGCUCAGAGUAUAAGCCAAUGGAGCUUGGAAGGCUUCCGCAGAGACAGGCAUCACACGUGGUGUUCUGACAGACCAGGGCGCGGUUCGUCAGGUGGAGCAUUGAGUUUGCUGGCCAAUCGUCGUGCGGGGGUGCGGUUUGGGGGUCUUAGGCUUCGGCCGAAGGGCUCCUGGCCGUCCCCUUUUGAAUGAACGUUCAGAGCUUCUGUGUCUAAUGCGGUAUAUGCCCACCACGGCACGUUGUGAGGUCACCCACAGGCUCAAACUGCCGAUCGCGCAUCCAGGACGAUGGCAACGAUGCGUAGCUCUUGCUUGUUUAUCGAGCAAUCACGCGUGUCUAGUCCUGGGUCGGGCGGCGACCGAGAUAAACCUGGUAUGAUCCUCGAGCGACGAGCUGCUUUCUGGCCAGACCGACGUCCAGGCGCUUCCACUGUGCCGGAAGCGUCGAUCCCAGGCGGUGUGAACCCAGCUGCAUUCUGCAAGGUCUCUCAGCCGGGCGUUGGUCUGAGUGGUGUUAAGUCCAGCACCAUCGGUCACGUCUCGAAACACGGGCCAAGGAGUAUAGCAUGUGUGCAAGUCUAAGGGUCUCACAAAACCCGAAGGCGAAGUGAAAGCAAGACUGUGGCGGGGGAGCUACGGCGAACCCGCCGGCCUGUGGCGCAUUGCGUCGCCUGGCUUUUAGCAGAGCUGAUCCUGUUUUCACGGUUAAUUCUUGGUGCAGGCGCAAGCUCCGGGCUCACGUACAACACUGGUCACCUCGUGUGGCUGUGUUGUGAGCACCGUGGAGCAUGCAUGCUAUGACCCGAAAGAUAGUGAACUAUGCCUGGCGAGGGCGAAGCCCCAGGAAACUGGGGUGGAGGCCCGUAGCCGUUGUGACGUGCAAAUCCAUGGUAUCAGCUGGGCAUAGGGGCGAAAGACCAAUCGAACUAUCUAGUAGCU